UACGUAGGGUGCGAGCGUUAAUCGGAAUUACUGGGCGUAAAGCGUGCGCAGGCGGUCUGUUAAGACAGAUGUGAAAUCCCCCGGCUUAACCAGGGAACUGCGUCUGAUACUGGAUGGCUUGAGUUUGGGAGAGGGAUGCGGAAUUCCAGGUGUAGCGGUGAAAUGCGUAGAUAUCUGGAGGAACACCGGUGGCGAAGGCGACAUCCUGGACCAACACUGACGCUGAGUGAGCGAAAGCCAGGGGAGCAAACGGG
Molecule: ribosomal RNA, 254 nt
Filed under: uncultured bacterium
Lineage: Bacteria
Description: partial 16S ribosomal RNA
Rfam family: Bacterial small subunit ribosomal RNA
Source: RNAcentral